This 474-nucleotide ribosomal RNA is filed under the name uncultured bacterium. RNAcentral describes it as "bacterial SSU rRNA". It matches the Rfam family "Bacterial small subunit ribosomal RNA", at positions 355 to 825 of the family's 1533-position model. The record is from RNAcentral.
UAAGGAAUAUUGCGCAAUGGGCGAAAGCCUGACGCAGCGACGCCGCGUGGGGGGAUGAAGGUCUUCGGGUUGUAAACUGCUUUUGUACGGAACGAAAAGGCUCUUUCUAAUAAAGAGGGCCCAUGACGGUACCGUAAGAAUAAGCACCGGCUAACUACGUGCCAGCAGCCGCGGUAAUACGUAGGGUGCAAGCGUUAAUCGGAAUUACUGGGCGUAAAGCGUGCGCAGGCGGCUUUGCAAGACAGAUGUGAAAUCCCCGGGCUCAACCUGGGAACUGCAUUUGUGACUGCAAGGCUAGAGUACGGUAGAGGGGGAUGGAAUUCCGCGUGUAGCAGUGAAAUGCGUAGAUAUGCGGAGGAACUACCGAUGGCGAAGGCAAUCCCCUGGACCUGUACUGACGCUCAUGCACGAAAGCGUGGGGAGCAAACAGGAUUAGAUACCCAAGUAGUCCCUGAGCGGGCUGGCAAGGCGCAU